Molecule: ribosomal RNA, 253 nt
Filed under: uncultured bacterium
Lineage: Bacteria
Description: partial 16S ribosomal RNA
Rfam family: Bacterial small subunit ribosomal RNA
Source: RNAcentral
UACGUAGGCAGCGAGCGUUGUUCGGAGUUACUGGGCGUAAAGGGUGUGUAGGCGGUCCUCCAAGUUUGGUGUGAAAUCUCCCGGCUCAACCGGGAGGGUGCGCCGAAAACUGGGGGGCUAGAGUGCGGGAGGGGAGAGUGGAAUUCCUGGUGUAGCGGUGAAAUGCGCAGAUAUCGGGAGGAACACCAGUAGCGAAGGCGGCUCGCUGGGCCGUUCCUGACGCUGAGACGCGAAAGCUAGGGGAGCGAGCAGG